Molecule: ribosomal RNA, 468 nt
Filed under: uncultured bacterium
Lineage: Bacteria
Description: partial 16S ribosomal RNA
Rfam family: Bacterial small subunit ribosomal RNA
Source: RNAcentral
GACGAACGCUGGCGGCGUGCUUAACACAUGCAAGUCGAACGGAAAGGCCCUGCUUUUGUGGGGUGCUCGAGUGGCGAAUGGGUGAGUAACACGUGAGUAACCUGCCCUUGACUUUGGGAUAACUUCAGGAAACUGGGGCUAAUACCGGAUAGGAGCUCCUGCUGCAUGGUGGGGGUUGGAAAGUUUCGGCGGUUGGGGAUGGACUCGCGGCUUAUCAGCUUGUUGGUGGGGUAGUGGCUUACCAAGGCUUUGACGGGUAGCCGGCCUGAGAGGGUGACCGGCCACAUUGGGACUGAGAUACGGCCCAGACUCCUACGGGAGGCAGCAGUGGGGAAUAUUGCACAGUGGGCGGAAGCCUGAUGCAGCAACGCCGCGUGCGGGAUGACGGCCUUCGGGUUGUAAACCGCUUUCGCCUGUGACGAAGCGUGAGUGACGGUAAUGGGUAAAGAAGCACCGGCUAACUACGUG